Molecule: long non-coding RNA, 406 nt
Organism: Drosophila subpulchrella
Lineage: Eukaryota; Metazoa; Arthropoda; Insecta; Diptera; Drosophilidae
Exons: 2
Source: RefSeq, a predicted model, not a curated record
CGGGUUAUAUUUAAGCAGUUGAUCAAAUUUUCUGUUUGCCAGAGAUGCUUUGCAAAUUGGCUUUUCUCCUUUUUCUGUUUAGUGGAAGACUGGCACAAUCAACUGACGAUAAUGAUAAAAACAUGCACAACCUGUUGGUUUGUAUCAGACAAAUGGAGCCAAAUUCGAAGGACACCAUUUUGAAAUUGCCGAAUAGAUGUGAAGACUUGAUGAGCAAGGUCGUCGAUCACUGGAAGUUAAGAGAAUUCGCUAAACAAGAUCAGAAAGUUUUUUACAAAAGAGGAGCAAAGGUAUCAUCAAAAAUGAGAACUUGGCAACCCUGGACAUAAAGCUUAAGAACAGUAUACAAAAUCUGUUUUUAAACAAAAUUUCCGCUCAAUAUAAAAAGUAGAGGUUGAAAUAUAAA